This 1433-nucleotide ribosomal RNA is filed under the name uncultured organism. Its description in RNAcentral is "SSU rRNA". It matches the Rfam family "Bacterial small subunit ribosomal RNA". The record is from RNAcentral.
UAACACAUGCAAGUCGAGGGGCAGCAUGGUCUUAUCUUGCUAAGGCCGAUGGCGACCGGCGCACGGGUGAGUAACACGUAUCCAACCUGCCGUCUACUCUUGGACAGCCUUCUGAAAGGAAGAUUAAUACAAGAUGGCAUCAUGAGUCCGCAUGUUCACAUGAUUAAAGGUAUUCCGGUAGACGAUGGGGAUGCGUUCCAUUGGAUAGUAGGCGGGGUAACGGCCCACCUAGUCUUCGAUGGAUAGGGGUUCUGAGAGGAAGGUCCCCCACAUUGGAACUGAGACACGGUCCAAACUCCUACGGGAGGCAGCAGUGAGGAAUAUUGGUCAAUGGGCGAGAGCCUGAACCAGCCAAGUAGCGUGAAGGAUGACUGCCCUAUGGGUUGUAAACUUCUUUUAUAAAGGAAUAAAGUCGGGUAUGCAUACCCGUUUGCAUGUACUUUAUGAAUAAGGAUCGGCUAACUCCGUGCCAGCAGCCGCGGUAAUACGGAGGAUCCGAGCGUUAUCCGGAUUUAUUGGGUUUAAAGGGAGCGUAGAUGGAUGUUUAAGUCAGUUGUGAAAGUUUGCGGCUCAACCGUAAAAUUGCAGUUGAUACUGGAUAUCUUGAGUGCAGUUGAGGCAGGCGGAAUUCGUGGUGUAGCGGUGAAAUGCUUAGAUAUCACGAAGAACUCCGAUUGCGAAGGCAGCCUGCUAAGCUGCAACUGACAUUGAGGCUCGAAAGUGUGGGUAUCAAACAGGAUUAGAUACCCUGGUAGUCCACACGGUAAACGAUGAAUACUCGCUGUUUGCGAUAUACAGCAAGCGGCCAAGCGAAAGCGUUAAGUAUUCCACCUGGGGAGUACGCCGGCAACGGUGAAACUCAAAGGAAUUGACGGGGGCCCGCACAAGCGGAGGAACAUGUGGUUUAAUUCGAUGAUACGCGAGGAACCUUACCCGGGCUUAAAUUGCAGAUGAAUUACGGUGAAAGCCGUAAGCCGCAAGGCAUCUGUGAAGGUGCUGCAUGGUUGUCGUCAGCUCGUGCCGUGAGGUGUCGGCUUAAGUGCCAUAACGAGCGCAACCCUUGUUGUCAGUUACUAACAGGUUCCGCUGAGGACUCUGACAAGACUGCCAUCGUAAGAUGUGAGGAAGGUGGGGAUGACGUCAAAUCAGCACGGCCCUUACGUCCGGGGCUACACACGUGUUACAAUGGGGGGGUACAGAGGGCCGCUACCACGCGAGUGGAUGCCAAUCCCAAAAACCUCUCUCAGUUCGGACUGGAGUCUGCAACCCGACUCCACGAAGCUGGAUUCGCUAGUAAUCGCGCAUCAGCCACGGCGCGGUGAAUACGUUCCCGGGCCUUGUACACACCGCCCGUCAAGCCAUGGGAGCCGGGGGUACCUGAAGUGCGUAACCGCGAGGAGCGCCCUAGGGUAAAACUGGUGACUGGGGCUAAG